RNAcentral lists this ribosomal RNA (793 nucleotides) under uncultured bacterium. Its description in RNAcentral is "bacterial SSU rRNA". It matches the Rfam family "Bacterial small subunit ribosomal RNA", at positions 8 to 796 of the family's 1533-position model. The record is from RNAcentral.
AGAGUUUGAUCCUGGCUCAGAUUGAACGCUGGCGGCAUGCCUUACACAUGCAAGUCGAGCGGCAGCGCGGGGGCAACCCUGGCGGCGAGCGGCGAACGGGUGAGUAACACAUCGGAACGUACCCAGUUGUGGGGGAUAGCCCGGCGAAAGCCGGAUUAAUACCGCAUACGACCUGAGGGUGAAAGUGGGGGAUCGCAAGACCUCACGCAGUUGGAGCGGCCGAUGGCGGAUUAGCUAGUUGGUGGGGUAAAGGCCUACCAAGGCGACGAUCCGUAGCUGGUCUGAGAGGACGACCAGCCACACUGGAACUGAGACACGGUCCAGACUCCUACGGGAGGCAGCAGUGGGGAAUUUUGGACAAUGGGGGCAACCCUGAUCCAGCCAUUCCGCGUGAGUGAAGAAGGCCUUCGGGUUGUAAAGCUCUUUCAGCCGGGAAGAAAACGCAUGGGUUAAUACCCUGUGUGGAUGACGGUACCGGAAUAAGAAGCACCGGCUAACUACGUGCCAGCAGCCGCGGUAAUACGUAGGGUGCGAGCGUUAAUCGGAAUUACUGGGCGUAAAGCGUGCGCAGGCGGUUUUGUAAGACAGGCGUGAAAUCCCCGGGCUUAACCUGGGAACUGCGUUUGUGACUGCAAAGCUAGAGUACGGCAGAGGGGGGUGGAAUUCCACGUGUAGCAGUGAAAUGCGUAGAGAUGUGGAGGAACACCAGUGGCGAAGGCGAUCUGCUGGCUCGUAACUGACGCUGAGGCGCGAAAGUGUGGGGAGCAAACAGGAUUAGAUACCCUGGUAGUCC